Long non-coding RNA from Nymphaea colorata (pocket water lily), 586 nucleotides. RefSeq lists it as uncharacterized. The transcript has 2 exons. The record is from RefSeq and is a predicted model, not a curated record. Lineage: Eukaryota; Viridiplantae; Streptophyta; Magnoliopsida; Nymphaeales; Nymphaeaceae.
AUCAGUCAUCCACCAUUAGUUGGUAUUCACUCUAACUAGUGGGCUAUCCACAAUGAAGCAAGUUUCCUUUCCCGUCCUCUUUCUUGCCCUUCUCUUGCUGCUCUCUGUGGCUUUUGCACGUAGUGUUGUUGAAAAACAGGAUGAAAAGAAUGCAACAGGCGAUGUUUGUGGAUCCUCUUGCGGCAGUGGUCGAUGCUGCCCCUCUGGUUACUCCUGCUGCCCAAACGACUGGUGCUGCCGAUCAAGUUACAUAUGCUGCGGCUAUCAUGGUUGCUGUAGUCUUAAUGAGUAUGGUGCACUCGUGAAUGCUCACGGUGUCGCUAGCAUACUGAAACCUUCUCGUCGCUGAUAUGUUAUCAUGUUGGUCAUGCUGAUAGUAGUAACUUGUGGUAUAUCUAAAUAAUAAAGCAAGCAUGUCUAAAUAAUAAAGCAAGCAUGCUUAUUGUCUGCUAGGACAGCAUGCAUGCAGGGUCUGUACUUCCUAGUUCUUGUUGCCCGCAAGAACCAGAACCAGUGUUUCCGUCCAUCCUCUUUGUGUACUUGUGCAAUCGAAAUAAAUGCACCGAUGUUGUGCUUAGUUAUUUUA